UGUAGCCUUGUCAUUCAGUGCCUCUACAAUGGACCGCACUGGCCGAAAUGACUGCCACAGUGAACCUGUAGUCCAUGGGCCUCCUGUCCCAUCUCCAUGGAUCCUGUGGAUACAUUUGUACUACUGACAAUU
Oncorhynchus gorbuscha (pink salmon) is the source of this 132-nucleotide small nucleolar RNA. RefSeq annotates it as small nucleolar RNA SNORA5. Lineage: Eukaryota; Metazoa; Chordata; Actinopteri; Salmoniformes; Salmonidae. The record is from RefSeq and is a predicted model, not a curated record. The transcript has a single exon.